Small nuclear RNA from Perognathus longimembris pacificus (Pacific pocket mouse), 109 nucleotides. The record is from RefSeq and is a predicted model, not a curated record. Lineage: Eukaryota; Metazoa; Chordata; Mammalia; Rodentia; Heteromyidae.
AUUCAUUUCAGCAGCACGUAUACUAAAGCAAUAUAGAACAAUAUAGAGAUGAUUAUCAUGGCUCCUACAUAAGUAUGGCAUGCAAAUUUGUGAAACAUUCAAUAUUUGU